This 253-nucleotide ribosomal RNA is filed under the name uncultured bacterium. Its description in RNAcentral is "partial 16S ribosomal RNA". It matches the Rfam family "Bacterial small subunit ribosomal RNA", at positions 524 to 776 of the family's 1533-position model. The record is from RNAcentral.
GACGUAGGGUGCGAGCGUUGUCCGGAUUUAUUGGGCGUAAAGAGCUCGUAGGCGGCUUGUCGCGUCGUUCGUGAAAACCCGGGGCUCAACUCCGGGCUUGCGGGCGAUACGGGCAGGCUAGAGUUCGGUAGGGGAGACUGGAAUUCCUGGUGUAGCGGUGAAAUGCGCAGAUAUCAGGAGGAACACCGGUGGCGAAGGCGGGUCUCUGGGCCGAUACUGACGCUGAGGAGCGAAAGCGUGGGGAGCGAACAGG